This 799-nucleotide ribosomal RNA is filed under the name uncultured marine Geminigeraceae. RNAcentral's name for it is "SSU rRNA". It matches the Rfam family "Eukaryotic small subunit ribosomal RNA", at positions 440 to 1253 of the family's 1831-position model. Lineage: Eukaryota; Cryptophyceae; Pyrenomonadales; Geminigeraceae. The record is from RNAcentral.
AUUACCCAAUCCCGAUUCGGGGAGGUAGUGACAAUAAAUAACAAUACAGGGCCAACGGUCUUGUUAUUGGAAUGAGAACAAUUUAAAUAACUUAACGAGGAUCAAUUAGAGGGCAAGUCUGGUGCCAGCAGCCGCGGUAAUUCCAGCUCUAAUAGCGUAUAUUAAAGUUGUUGCAGUUAAAAAGCUCGUAGUCGGAUGUCGGGCUCGGGCAGGCUGUCGGCUUCGGUCGGACGGCAGGCUCGGGUCUUUCUGCCUGAGGAACCCGUGGCACUUAACUGUGCGGCGUGGGGACGCAGGCCGUUUACUUUGAAAAAAUUAGAGUGUUCAAAGCAGGCCUACACUUGAAUACAUUAGCAUGGAAUAAUGGAAUAGGACUUUGGUGCUAUUUUGUUGGUUUAUGGGACCGAAGUAAUGAUUAACAGGGACAGUUGGGGCCGUUUAUAUUUCGUUGUCAGAGGUGAAAUUCUUGGAUUUACGAAAGAUAAACUUCUGCGAAAGCAUUCGGCAAGGAUGUUUUCAUUGAUCAAGAACGAAAGUUAGGGGAUCGAAGACGAUCAGAUACCGUCGUAGUCUUAACCAUAAACUAUGCCGACUAGGGAUCAGUGGAUGUCAAUUUGCGACUCCAUUGGCACCUUGUGAGAAAUCAAAGUUUUUGGGUUCCGGGGGGAGUAUGGUCGCAAGGCUGAAACUUAAAGGAAUUGACGGAAGGGCACCACCAGGAGUGGAGCCUGCGGCUUAAUUUGACUCAACACGGGGAAACUUACCAGGUCCAGACAUAGUAAGGAUUGACAGAUUGAAA